CCCUUAGAUGUUCUGGGCCGCACGCGCGCUACACUGACGAAUGCAACGAGCUUAUAACCUUGGCCGAAAGGUCUGGGUAAUCUCCAAAUUUCGUCGUGAUGGGGAUAGAUUAUUGCAAUUAUUAAUCUUCAACGAGGAAUGCCUAGUAAACGCAAGUCAUCAGCUUGCAUUGAUUACGUCCCUGCCCUUUGUACACACCGCCCGUCGCACCUACCGAUUGAAUGGUCCGGUGAAAUCUCGGGACGGCGGCUUGGUCGCUUGCGUCCGACUGCUGAAACUUGAUUAAACCAUAUCAUUUAGAGGAAGGUGAAGUCGUAACA
Molecule: ribosomal RNA, 320 nt
Filed under: uncultured eukaryote
Lineage: Eukaryota
Description: partial 18S ribosomal RNA
Rfam family: Eukaryotic small subunit ribosomal RNA
Source: RNAcentral